CCUACGGGGUGCAGCAGUAGGGAAUCUUCGGCAAUGGACGAGAGUCUGACCGAGCAACGCCGCGUGAGUGAAGAAGGUUUUCGGAUCGUAAAACUCUGUUGUUAGAGAAGAACAAGUAGGAGAGUAACUGCUCUUACCUUGACGGUAUCUAACCAGAAAGCCACGGCUAACUACGUGCCAGCAGCCGCGGUAAUACGUAGGUGGCAAGCGUUGUCCGGAUUUAUUGGGCGUAAAGCGAGCGCAGGCGGUCUUUUAAGUCUGAUGUGAAAGCCCUCGGCUCAACCGAGGAAGGUCAUUGGAAACUGGAGGACUUGAGUGCAGAAGAGGAGAGUGGAAUUCCGAGUGUAGAGGUGAAAUUCGUAGAUAUUCGGAGGAACACCAGUGGCGAAGGCGGCUUACUGGUCCGCAACUGACGCUGAGGCGCGAAAGCGUGGGGAGCAAACAGGAUUAGAUACCCGAGUAGUC
Molecule: ribosomal RNA, 465 nt
Filed under: uncultured bacterium
Lineage: Bacteria
Description: bacterial SSU rRNA
Rfam family: Bacterial small subunit ribosomal RNA
Source: RNAcentral